AGGCCCGUAGGCUAACGGCAAACCGCCCGCCUCCAGAGCGGGAUUUGGGGGUUCGAAUCCUCCCGGGCCUGCCA
This 74-nucleotide transfer RNA is filed under the name Candidatus Saccharimonadota bacterium. Its description in RNAcentral is "tRNA-Trp". It matches the Rfam family "tRNA". From Rfam's summary of the family: Transfer RNA (tRNA) molecules are approximately 80 nucleotides in length. The record is from RNAcentral. Lineage: Bacteria; Candidatus Saccharimonadota. RNAcentral also lists the same sequence under 2 other names.